Molecule: long non-coding RNA, 1452 nt
Organism: Mustela erminea (ermine)
Lineage: Eukaryota; Metazoa; Chordata; Mammalia; Carnivora; Mustelidae
Exons: 2
Source: RefSeq, a predicted model, not a curated record
CUACUCCCCUUGCUUGUGUUUCCUCACUGUGUCUCUGUCAAAUGAAUACAUAAAAACUUAAAAAAUAAAAGAACCCAGCAAGCCACUGUCUGGAAAUCUAACCUCUUUUUAUCACCCAUUGGUUCAAUUUCCAACUUAAAUCAUUAGUUUAUGAUAGAACAAAAGCUAACUAGAUCAGCCUCUAGUGAUGGCUUUCAGCCCCCGCCCCCCUUUCUAGAAGGUAACAGAAUGGGAAUGGCGGGGAGGAAUAAAUACUGCUUUUCUGGAAGGGGUGUUGAUAUUUUAGGACAUACAGUGGCUAAACUUGUGAGCUCAUUAUGCCCCUUCUGGGAGAUGUUCACCUACUUUGAAUAGUUCUAAUGUAGGAGGGGAAAGAGAAGGAGACUAAAUAUUUUAGAGCAGUCUGAUUCAGCCAUUUGUAUUUCACGGGGGUUCUUUUCAAAAUAUGACCAAAAAACAAAAGGGGAAAGGGACCUUUAUCCAAGUUGUUUCUCUUUUAGACAAGUCACUUGAUACUUGACUCUUUCUUCAUCUUUAGGAAGUUAGAUCACAUCAGGUGUAAAUGACUUUCUUCUGUGCAAGGAUAAAAUUUGAGAACUAAGCAUCUGUGGGCCAUAUUUUAAAAUUCAAAGUGUAAAUAGCAUAUGGAGUUUUGUGAAAAAUGUUCUAUCCGGAAUCAAAGAACAUUACUGAGAAAAUUGACACUGAUUUUUAGCCAUUAAAAUAUUCAUAUUACCUGGACUUAAUUGCAAACUUGCAACUUUCUAGUCUAGAUCCUUAAUGCUGUGUAGUGCUUUUGCAUUCACAAAGUUCAAUCAUAUAGUAUUUUAGUUUCCAAAAAUCUAAUGAGGUAGGCUUUAUCAUUUCCAAAUUAGAGAAAUGGAAAACAGGCCCAGCCAGAUAAAACAAUAUGCCCACAAAUACGUGAGUUAGCAACAGAGCUCAGGCUAGAAUCUGUAAUUGCAUUCCAUGUAAAGUUUAUGGAGUACCUAUUGGUGCAAAGCACUAUUAGGAAAAGAAGACCCAUUUUUAUUUUAGCAAAGUCACGUUGGUAGCCAUAAGGAGAAAAGACAUGUAAGGACCGAUUCAGAAAGACUGGUUGCAGUAGUUCAGUAGAGCAGUAAGUAAUGAACUAAGGCAUUGGAGAGGAGACUGGGGUAUGAGGAACUGGUAGUCCUUAGUUGGAUGUAAUGGCCCUGGUUUUCUUUUAUUGCAAACUAUAUAUAUAUAUAUAGAUAUAUAUAUAUAUAUAUAUGCAUUUGUAUGUACAGUCCACAGAGGAGGACCUCUGCCUGUUCAUUCACUAGAACCAUGCCUGGCACAUAAAAGAUAUUCAGUAGAACUCCUGAUUGUUGAUGGUGAACUGAAUUUUUUCCAAUUGGUUUGGGAGUGAUCCUCCAGAGGCUUGUGUCUCCAGUUAUAUGGGCCAAUAAAUCUUGACAGUUUAAAUCA